This 1047-nucleotide long non-coding RNA is filed under the name Oryzias javanicus (javanese ricefish). RNAcentral's name for it is "lncRNA (ENSOJAG00000019065.1)". Lineage: Eukaryota; Metazoa; Chordata; Actinopteri; Beloniformes; Adrianichthyidae. The record is from RNAcentral.
AUUGGGUAAAUUAUAUCUGGUAAAAAUGACCUGACAAAAGUGAUGGAGUAACGUUUUACAGUGAAAGUGUUUUAGGUUUACGGAAAAACCAAAACUUACCAACUUCGGACAUUUCUGGAACGCUGGCAAAGUAAAUUUCCUUUGCAAAUUUUGGCGCGUUGUCGUUGAUGUCGUGAAUCUUGAUGUUGAACUCGGUGUCCGGCUCCAGUCGGCGUCUGUGAGUCACGGCUUGCGUCGAUCACGGCGUUUCCUCCGGUCAGCUUGGUUACGUUGGUCGCUCUCUGUCCAGGGACCUUCUGGCGACGCAGCGGAUUGUACAUGGCCUUCUCCUCGCGGUCCAGCCUCUUGGUGGCGUGGAUGUCGCCGGACUUCUCGUCGAUCAGGAAGAGGGUUCCCGCCCCGUUCCAGGUGUCAGGUACGUAUUCACCGUUGCCCGUCACCUUUGUCCAUGUUGGAGUGCAGCUGGAACGGACAGAGAGGAGCCGUCACGUUUAAUGGUGAGAUAUUGGAACCCAGAUGAGUGUGGAGCCGGUAAAUGUGAUUGCUGUCACGCCCCAGAAGUUGGGCGGCGAAAAGCCUCAAAGAGCGGAGAAAAGAGGCAACAUCUCCCCCAUUAUUGACGUGUCACGGGACGGCCUCCGAAUUUGCUUUGCUGCAUCAUCACUUAUCAGAACAAGGUGAAUUCAUUGGCCCUUUCUGAUUGAUCUGUUCCUCCCCGCUCUUCUGCUUUUUUUUUCAUUUAUUGUCUGCUGGAUUUUUUUCCGUCUUUUCAUCCGCAUCAGGAUGACGGUUUCUGCAAAAGAAGUUGUCAUCCCCCGACUCAACCUUUCACGAGACGCUUGUUUACUCCGGAGAAUGCGGCGUGUGAUGAAAGCGAGCUUCCUCCAAGAAAAUUGGCUGUCGACAGUCACCUCAUUUCCCUGUGAGUUGAUAACUGAAGCGUUCCCAUCACACCUGUCUUUAUAGUGGCAGCACGAGUGAGCUGACAGGAACCUUUCUGAUCUGGGUGAAUGGGGAUGGAGUAGCAGAGCUGAAACUCUCCAGGAG